Molecule: ribosomal RNA, 464 nt
Filed under: uncultured bacterium
Lineage: Bacteria
Description: partial 16S ribosomal RNA
Rfam family: Bacterial small subunit ribosomal RNA
Source: RNAcentral
CUACGGGCUGCAGCAGUGGGGAAUAUUGCACAAUGGGCGCAAGCCUGAUGCAGCCAUGCCGCGUGUAUGAAGAAGGCCUUCGGGUUGUAAAGUACUUUCAGCGGGGAGGAAGGGAGUAAAGUUAAUACCUUUGCUCAUUGACGUUACCCGCAGAAGAAGCACCGGCGAACUCCGUGCCAGCAGCCGCGGUAAUACGGAGGGUGCAAGCGUUUAUCGGAAUUACUGGGCGUAAAGCGCACGCAGGCGGUUUGUUAAGUCAGAUGUGAAAUCCCCGGGCUCAACCUGGGAACUGCAUCUGAUACUGGCAAGCUUGAGUCUCGUAGAGGGGGGUAGAAUUCCAGGUGUAGCGGUGAAAUGCGUAGAGAUCUGGAGGAAUACCGGUGGCGAAGGCGGCCCCCUGGACGAAGACUGACGCUCAGGUGCGAAAGCGUGGGGAGCAAACAGGAUUAGAUACCCUUGUAGUC